Molecule: long non-coding RNA, 703 nt
Organism: Carassius carassius (crucian carp)
Lineage: Eukaryota; Metazoa; Chordata; Actinopteri; Cypriniformes; Cyprinidae
Exons: 2
Source: RefSeq, a predicted model, not a curated record
GUGUGUCAAGGACACUGAAAAAUGCCUCAGUGGCAAGUUUCGUUUCUAACAAACAGACUAUCACUCACUGUCAAGAGGAUCACAAUCAUCCUUCAGAAUGUGGAUUCUGUUGGUUAUUUUGGUCAUAUUUUUCGUGGAUGGAAAAACUAUUAAUGAAUUUCGUUUGGUUCUUCAUACGAUGACUACAGCCGUGUGUCAGCUGUACCUGGUGCUGUUACACCUGCGCCAUGACGCUCACCACUGCGCCAAAGCAAUUCUAUUACAAUUUUUUUGCCUUUAUAAUAUAUUAGUGAGGAACGGUGCUGAAUUAGAUCGCUUCAGGUAUGUUUUGAAGUGUUACAGAAGCGCCGCUGUUCAUUUCCUGGAGGCGGUGUGUUUGAUCUUGGAGUCGCUCGCAGUUUCUGGCGGUCGUGUCGAGUCUGGGUGUCGCUGUCAGACACGUCCUGCAGGCGGCGCUGUUUCUCAUUGCGUCCACGGUGCACUGGGCGCAACGGAUGCUGCUUUUCUCUAAUGAGGACGUGGAUGCAUGGGAGAACGAACAGAAAAAACGGAGAGAAGAAAUACAGAAACAAACAGGACAGCUGGAGGACUACCUAAAUCCUGAUCAGUCCACAUGGAAAAACAGACGCUGAUUUGCAUCCUCUAAAAAAAACAGCACCUGGUUGCUCUUUGCCAUGCAUUUACAAUAAAAUGUUUUAUCCAA